RNAcentral lists this ribosomal RNA (253 nucleotides) under uncultured bacterium. Its description in RNAcentral is "partial 16S ribosomal RNA". It matches the Rfam family "Bacterial small subunit ribosomal RNA", at positions 524 to 776 of the family's 1533-position model. The record is from RNAcentral.
UACGGAGGGUGCAAGCGUUAAUCGGAAUUACUGGGCGUAAAGCGCACGUAGGUGGUUUGUUAAGCCAGCUAUGAAAUCCCCGGGCUCAACCUGGGCACUGCAGUUGGAACUGGCAAGCUAGAGUAGGGUAGAGGGGUGUGGAAUUCCAGGUGUAGCGGUGAAAUGCGUAGAUAUCUGGAGGAACAUCAGUGGCGAAGGCGACACCCUGGACUCAUACUGACACUGAGGUGCGAAAGCGUGGGGAGCAAACAGG